Long non-coding RNA from Glycine soja, 1929 nucleotides. RefSeq lists it as uncharacterized. The record is from RefSeq and is a predicted model, not a curated record. The transcript is spliced from 8 exons. NCBI's taxonomy places the organism in Eukaryota, Viridiplantae, Streptophyta, Magnoliopsida, Fabales, Fabaceae.
UUAUCUAUAUCUACUUGCUUUAGACUCAACAGUAGUAGUAGCUUCAGUUAAAAGGGUUACACAUUGAUAGUGUAAAAAGUUUUACACAGUCAUCCAAUCACAAUUCACCAUAUAUGUUAAGUAUGUUGACUUUUAAAAUAAUUAUUUAAAAGUAAUUCAAACGUGAUUUGUGAUUGAAUGAUAAUGUAAAACUGUUUUACACUAUUAGUGCAUAGGCAGUAAACUCUUUUUUUAAUGUGUAUAGUAUAUCCUUCCGUACCCAUAGUUUUAGAAAUUUUGUUGUACCCCGUCCUGUACCAAUACCAGUACCUAUAGCUGUGUCACUUCAUUAUUUUCAUUGAGUGUGAACUCUACUGGUAUAGUAAGUUCAGACUUCAGAACUUGUGUUAGUUAACCUUGACUCUACCCUAGUACAUUAACGUGUUAGUACCCUAGAACUUGUGUUUCUCUGUAUCAACAGCUGGUAGCAUCCCGGAAGCCGCAACAAGUGAGGCAAUUGAACCUUCAAGCAAUGUUCCAUCCCGGGGCACUGAGCUUUGAUCCUAUCAGAUGCUGCAAACUGCUAAAACCCCACAGUUCUAGGUUCUAACCGAAUCCUAGUGAUUUGAUCAUGUAUUACUCAAUUAGCUAUCAGGGGCUCUGAAAAUAGGGUACCCGUGCCAUUGGAUACUUCCAGCAGUCAAGAAGUAAAGAAGACUGUGGCCAAAAAAUUCCUGUCUAUGCUGAACAAGCUAUAUUACUUUUGUACUUGUCGACCAAAGGCACAUGAGGAAUUGAGUGUCUAGGUUAGCAUGUUUGGUGUUUACUUAAACCGGAAGGAUAGCUAUACAAUGAAACCCAAAGGAUGGGUCAGUGAUAUGGUGAUUUUAGCUGCUGGAAAGAUAAUGAUGGAAGAGGAGAAAGCAACAAAUGGGGCUGUCACUCGCCAUAUGCUUGGCCCACAAUUUGUAGUGAGUAGUUAAGUAUAAUGUUUAUAAACAAAAGAGCUGUUGAAGGACCCAUGCUAUCAACAUUUAUGGUAGUGCUAUUGUUUUUCUAUAUAUGUUUAGUCAGCAUAACACUCAAAUGUCAGUCAGUGAUGUUUCUGUGUAGAAUAAGCUAAUAUGCGACUUAAAUCAAUCUAAUGAAGAUAGCUACAAGCCUUGGUGUAUUGAGGAUGUAUCUCUAUUCAUCUUGCCGAGUAAACUGGGUUAUGAUAUUAAUCAGUGCAAAUUGAUUUUUGCACCAACUUUGUUUGAGGAGCAUUGGUCUUGUUAUGCAUUCGAGCCAAGUACAAAACUUUAUAUGUGUUAGAUUCGAUGCAUGAUAAUUUCUCAACCAGCAAGAAGAACUUGGAUGAUGCAAUGAAACAUCGUUUUAAGGAGCUUCUGGUAUUAAUGAAUCCUGGUUUGACCAAAGAGAGUGCAUCAAUAACACUUCUUCACGUUGAUGUUCCCAGGCAGCAAAACAUUCAUGAUUGUGGCAUCCAUGUGCUGAAAUACAUGGAAAUUUGGGAUGGAUCAAUAAAAUGGCAAGACAAAACCAUGCCUGAUUAUCAACACAAAGAAAUCUUGAAGAUUCGACAAAGCCUAUAUGUGGAUGGGUUCGACAUCCUAAAAACGAGAUUAGAGAAGAGAUUUUGAAGGCAGCAGGAGUAUGGGGGAAAUUAUGCUGACUGACAUUGAGUCAUUGACUAUCAAGUUCACACGUCUACUAAGAGAUUUCGGUUAUACAUAAUUAAUUUUUUAAAAUGAAAUACAGUUUUAAUUCUUCAUCUGGGGCACCCAAACUUAAUAUGAAAAUGUAACACCUAGUUCACACUUUACUUGUAUCUUUAUAUUGGGCAUCUAAACUUUAAUGCCCUGUGACACUGGAAUAUACUAGUUUCUUUAAAGUUGCACAUUUUUCUCAGAUUGUUCGUCUGAGGUAAAUAUAAUAACUUCCUUCCUA